GCUGAGUUAGUUUAACAAAAACGUUAGGAUGUGGCCCUACUAAUAGGAGUAUUACUUCUACUCAGUA
Molecule: transfer RNA, 67 nt
Filed under: Granata lyrata
Lineage: Eukaryota; Metazoa; Mollusca; Gastropoda; Seguenziida; Chilodontidae
Description: tRNA-His
Source: RNAcentral